Molecule: microRNA precursor, 190 nt
Filed under: Oryza brachyantha (malo sina)
Lineage: Eukaryota; Viridiplantae; Streptophyta; Magnoliopsida; Poales; Poaceae
Description: MIR812 microRNA precursor family
Rfam family: MIR812 microRNA precursor family
Source: Rfam by way of RNAcentral
AAUAAAGUCAUUUUUCAAUUUUUAGAUACAAUGUUUUGACUCUUCAUCUUAUUUGAAAUUUUUUUACGAUUAAUAUUUUUAUUGUUACUGGAUGAUAGAAUAUGAGUAGUACUUUAUGGGUGAUUAAUUUUUUAAAUUUUUGACUAAAUUUUAAAAUAAGACGAAUGGUAAGGCAUUGGGCACAGAAAUU